GGCUCAAAGAUUAAGCC
RNAcentral lists this ribosomal RNA (17 nucleotides) under Acacia ligulata. Its description in RNAcentral is "partial 18S ribosomal RNA". Lineage: Eukaryota; Viridiplantae; Streptophyta; Magnoliopsida; Fabales; Fabaceae. The record is from RNAcentral.